Molecule: long non-coding RNA, 203 nt
Filed under: Mytilus galloprovincialis (Mediterranean mussel)
Lineage: Eukaryota; Metazoa; Mollusca; Bivalvia; Mytilida; Mytilidae
Source: RNAcentral
GGGGGGGCGCAAUGUUUUAUUUUCGCCGAGCGGAGCGAGGUGAAAAAUUUUUGGAGGUUUUUUUAGGUAAAACUAUUGAAAUAUUCUUCUAAAGGGGUGAAAUGUAGAUAUCUCGAACUAUUGUGUGGUAAAAUUAGCGAGAAAUUAAAGUUUCAAGCUGAAACCGCCUUAAUCCACACCUGACAACAACCUACAGAUAGACG